Molecule: long non-coding RNA, 487 nt
Filed under: Homo sapiens (human)
Lineage: Eukaryota; Metazoa; Chordata; Mammalia; Primates; Hominidae
Description: non-protein coding lnc-DBX2-4:2
Source: RNAcentral
GCAGAAGGAAGUCGGCAGGCGAGACUGCAGAGGGAGUAGUGCGAUCCUGCGCGCGGGGGAACUAGCUGGAGGGCAAGGCGGGAACACCAUCUAUUGUUGGGGUGAUCGGACCUAACACCAGGUUGUGGGGACAACGAAGUCCAGAAGAGUGAAAGGAAUGAGAAAAGACAGUUUGAGAGAGAAAGUGGGCCCAGGGGGCCAAUGCGAGUAUGGAGGCUGUGAAGGCCCCGAGCCCUGGAAGCCCAGACUAUUUAUUGGUGAUCAAACAAAGAAACAGGUGGUGAGAAUGUGGGGUUGAAAGGGAGCAUUGCAUUAAGCACAUGAUUUACAGCUGUGAUGGUUUAGCAUAUGCUCUGCUACUUGAGAUAAUGGAGAGCAGGUUCUUUUAACUCAAGAUACAAUAGAUCCUGGGAGAGCAGGGAGCAAGGAGCCAGCCAGCCUAGACACAUUCCAGAGGCCAUGAGCCCUGGAUUCUUUCCAAGCCACA